AACGAACGCUGGCGGCAGGCCUAACACAUGCAAGUCGAGCGCCCAGCAAUGGGAGCGGCGGACGGGUGAGUAACACGUGGGAAUAUGCCUUUCGGUUCGGAACAACUCGGGGAAACCCGUGCUAAUUCCGGAUACGCCCUUACGGGAAGAUUUAUCGCCGAAAGAUUAGCCCGCGUCCGAUUAGCUAGUUGGUGAGGUAAUGGCUCACCAAGGCACCGAUCGGUAGCUGGUUUGAGAGAACGACCAGCCACACUGGGACUGAGACACGGCCCAGACUCCUACGGGAGGCAGCAGUGGGGAAUCUUGGACAAUGGGGGAAACCCUGAUCCAGCCAUGCCGCGUGAGUGAUGAAGGCC
RNAcentral lists this ribosomal RNA (356 nucleotides) under uncultured bacterium. Its description in RNAcentral is "bacterial SSU rRNA". It matches the Rfam family "Bacterial small subunit ribosomal RNA", at positions 29 to 416 of the family's 1533-position model. The record is from RNAcentral.